RNAcentral lists this ribosomal RNA (433 nucleotides) under uncultured bacterium. Its description in RNAcentral is "partial 16S ribosomal RNA". It matches the Rfam family "Bacterial small subunit ribosomal RNA", at positions 28 to 507 of the family's 1533-position model. The record is from RNAcentral.
GACGAACGCUGGCGGCAUGCCUAACACAUGCAAGUCGAACGAGACCUUCGGGUCUAGUGGCGCACGGGUGCGUAACGCGUGGGAACCUGCCCUUAGGUUCGGAAUAACUCCCCGAAAGGGGUGCUAAUACCGGAUAAUGUCUUCGGACCAAAGAUUUAUCGCCUUUGGAUGGGCCCGCGUUGGAUUAGCUAGUUGGUAGGGUAAAAGCCUACCAAGGCGACGAUCCAUAGCUGGUCUGAGAGGAUGAUCAGCCACACUGGGACUGAGACACGGCCCAGACUCCUACGGGAAGCAGCAGUGGGGAAUAUUGGACAAUGGGCGAAAGCCUGAUCCAGCAAUGCCGCGUGAGUGAUGAAGGCCUUAGGGUUGUAAAGCUCUUUUACCCGGGAUGAUAAUGACAGUACCGGGAGAAUAAGCUCCGGCUAACUCCGUG